Cottoperca gobio is the source of this 343-nucleotide long non-coding RNA. RefSeq lists it as uncharacterized. The record is from RefSeq and is a predicted model, not a curated record. The transcript is spliced from 3 exons. Lineage: Eukaryota; Metazoa; Chordata; Actinopteri; Perciformes; Bovichtidae.
ACCGAGCAGCCAAAGCCAGGAGCAGCCAUCAGUGAACCGCACCUCGUCACCCACGGGAGGCGGCCCUGCCUCUGCAGAUGAUGUCAUCGUCAGACAUCAAUUGAAGGGGGACAGGAAGCCCAGAGCAGAGCCCAAGCUUGCCACCGCCCCGCGAGGCCACCCACAGCUACACAUGCAGCUCCAGAAGUUCACCGUGUCUGCUGACAAGACUUUGUCCUGGCUAAAAGACAAUGUGUCCAUGGCCACGCAGGUGUGUUCAAUAGCCAACUUUGAGGGGCUGGAGGCAGCCAGGAGGUGUCAACACGCUCUGCAACAAGAAAUCCUCACCAACAGGGCCAGGAUA